RNAcentral lists this unclassified non-coding RNA (337 nucleotides) under soil metagenome. RNAcentral's name for it is "partial contains 5.8S ribosomal RNA, internal transcribed spacer 2, and large subunit ribosomal RNA". The stretch from base 1 to 120 matches the Rfam family "5.8S ribosomal RNA", at positions 35 to 154 of the family's 154-position model. The record is from RNAcentral.
GAUGAAGAACGUAGCGAAAUGCGAUAAGUAGUGUGAAUUGCAGAAUUCAGUGAAUCAUCGAAUGUUUGAACGCUCAUUGCGACCCUUGGUAUUCCAUGGGGCAUGCCUGUUCGAGCGUCAUUUGUACCUUCAAGCUCUGCUUGGUGUUGGGUGUUUGUCUCGCCUCUGCGUGUAGACUCGCCUCAAAACAAUUGGCAGCCGGCGUAUUGAUUUCGGAGCGCAGUACAUCUCGCGCUUUGCACUCAUAACGACGACGUCCAAAAGUACAUUUUUACACUCUUGACCUCGGAUCAGGUAGGGAUACCCGCUGAACUUAAGCAUAUCAAUAAGCGGAGGA